RNAcentral lists this ribosomal RNA (491 nucleotides) under uncultured bacterium. RNAcentral's name for it is "partial 16S ribosomal RNA". It matches the Rfam family "Bacterial small subunit ribosomal RNA", at positions 29 to 506 of the family's 1533-position model. The record is from RNAcentral.
AGUGAACGCUGGCGGUAGGCCUAACACAUGCAAGUCGAACGGCAGCACAGUAGGAGCUUGCUCUUACGGGUGGCGAGUGGCGGACGGGUGAGGAAUACAUCGGAAUCUACUUUUUCGUGGGGGAUAACGUAGGGAAACUUACGCUAAUACCGCAUACGACCUACGGGUGAAAGCAGGGGAUCUUCGGACCUUGCGCGAUUGAAUGAGCCGAUGCCGGAUUAGCUAGUUGGCGGGGUAAAGGCCCACCAAGGCGACGAUCCGUAGCUGGUCUGAGAGGAUGAUCAGCCACACUGGAACUGAGACACGGUCCAGACUCCUACGGGAGGCAGCAGUGGGGAAUAUUGGACAAUGGGCGCAAGCCUGAUCCAGCCAUACCGCGUGGGUGAAGAAGGCCUUCGGGUUGUAAAGCCCUUUUGUUGGGAAAGAAAAGCAGCAGGUUAAUACCCCGCUGUUCUGACGGUACCCAAAGAAUAAGCACCGGCUAACUUCGU